AGAGUUUGAUCCUGGCUCAGGAUGAACGCUGGCGGCCGUGCUUAACACAUGCAAGUCGAACGGGAAACCUUUUAUUGAAGCUUCGGCAGAUUUAGAUUGUUUCUAGUGGCGGACGGGUGAGUAACGCGUGGGUAACCUGCCUUAUACAGGGGGAUAACAGUCAGAAAUGACUGCUAAUACCGCAUAAGCGCACAGAGCUGCAUGGCUCGGUGUGAAAAACUCCGGUGGUAUAAGAUGGACCCGCGUUGGAUUAGCUAGUUGGUGAGGUAACGGCCCACCAAGGCGACGAUCCAUAGCCGGCCUGAGAGGGUGAACGGCCACAUUGGGACUGAGACACGGCCCAGACUCCUACGGGAGGCAGCAGUGGGGGAUAUUGCACAAUGGGGGAAACCCUGAUGCAGCGACGCCGCGUGGAGGAAGAAGGUUUUCGGAUUGUAAACUCCUGUCGUUAGGGACGAUAAUGACGGUACCUAACAAGAAAGCACCGGCUAACUACGUGCCAGCAGCCGCGGUAAAACGUAGGGUGCAAGCGUUGUCCGGAAUUACUGGGUGUAAAGGGAGCGCAGGCGGGAAGACAAGUUGGAAGUGAAAACCAUGGGCUCAACCCAUGAAUUGCUUUCAAAACUGUUUUUCUUGAGUAGUGCAGAGGUAGAUGGAAUUCCCGGUGUAGCGGUGGAAUGCGUAGAUAUCGGGGGGAACACCAGUGGCGAAGGCGGUCUACUGGGCACCAACUGACGCUGAGGCUCGAAAGCAUGGGUAGCAAACAGGAUUAGAUACCCUGGUAGUCCAUGCCGUAAACGAUGA
This 804-nucleotide ribosomal RNA is filed under the name uncultured bacterium. RNAcentral describes it as "bacterial SSU rRNA". It matches the Rfam family "Bacterial small subunit ribosomal RNA", at positions 8 to 812 of the family's 1533-position model. The record is from RNAcentral.